RNAcentral lists this ribosomal RNA (250 nucleotides) under uncultured bacterium. Its description in RNAcentral is "partial 16S ribosomal RNA". It matches the Rfam family "Bacterial small subunit ribosomal RNA", at positions 524 to 775 of the family's 1533-position model. The record is from RNAcentral.
UACGUAGGGUGCAAGCGUUGUCCGGAAUUAUUGGGCGUAAAGAGCUCGUAGGCGGUUUGUCGCGUCUGCUGUGAAAACUCGGGGCUUAACUCCGGGCCUGCAGUGGGUACGGGCAGACUAGAGUGCGGUAGGGGAGACUGGAAUUCCUGGUGUAGCGGUGAAAUGCGCAGAUAUCAGGAGAACACCAGUGGCGAAAGCAGCUCUCUGGGACGUACUGACGCUGAGCAGCGAAAGCGUGGGGAGCAACGGG